UACGGAGGGUGCAAGCGUUGUCCGGAUUUAUUGGGUUUAAAGGGUGCGUAGGCGGCUAUUUAAGUCAGCGGUGAAAUCCUUCAGCUUAACUGAAGACGUGCCAUUGAUACUGAAUAGCUUGAGUACUGAUGAGGUAGGCGGAAUUGAAGGUGUAGCGGUGAAAUGCAUAGAUAUCUUCAAGAACACCAAUUGCGAAGGCAGCUUACUAAGGAGUAACUGACGCUGAGGCACGAAAGCGUGGGGAUCGAACAGG
This 253-nucleotide ribosomal RNA is filed under the name uncultured bacterium. RNAcentral describes it as "partial 16S ribosomal RNA". It matches the Rfam family "Bacterial small subunit ribosomal RNA", at positions 524 to 776 of the family's 1533-position model. The record is from RNAcentral.